RNAcentral lists this ribosomal RNA (714 nucleotides) under Streptomyces albogriseolus. RNAcentral describes it as "bacterial SSU rRNA". It matches the Rfam family "Bacterial small subunit ribosomal RNA", at positions 10 to 740 of the family's 1533-position model. The record is from RNAcentral. Lineage: Bacteria; Bacillati; Actinomycetota; Actinomycetes; Kitasatosporales; Streptomycetaceae.
AGUUUGAUCCUGGCUCAGGACGAACGCUGGCGGCGUGCUUAACACAUGCAAGUCGAACGAUGAACCACUUCGGUGGGGAUUAGUGGCGAACGGGUGAGUAACACGUGGGCAAUCUGCCCUGCACUCUGGGACAAGCCCUGGAAACGGGGUCUAAUACCGGAUACUGACCCGCUUGGGCAUCCAAGCGGUUCGAAAGCUCCGGCGGUGCAGGAUGAGCCCGCGGCCUAUCAGCUUGUUGGUGAGGUAAUGGCUCACCAAGGCGACGACGGGUAGCCGGCCUGAGAGGGCGACCGGCCACACUGGGACUGAGACACGGCCCAGACUCCUACGGGAGGCAGCAGUGGGGAAUAUUGCACAAUGGGCGAAAGCCUGAUGCAGCGACGCCGCGUGAGGGAUGACGGCCUUCGGGUUGUAAACCUCUUUCAGCAGGGAAGAAGCGAAAGUGACGGUACCUGCAGAAGAAGCGCCGGCUAACUACGUGCCAGCAGCCGCGGUAAUACGUAGGGCGCGAGCGUUGUCCGGAAUUAUUGGGCGUAAAGAGCUCGUAGGCGGCUUGUCACGUCGGUUGUGAAAGCCCGGGGCUUAACCCCGGGUCUGCAGUCGAUACGGGCAGGCUAGAGUUCGGUAGGGGAGAUCGGAAUUCCUGGUGUAGCGGUGAAAUGCGCAGAUAUCAGGAGGAACACCGGUGGCGAAGGCGGAUNUCUGGGCCGAUAC